RNAcentral lists this ribosomal RNA (252 nucleotides) under uncultured bacterium. RNAcentral's name for it is "partial 16S ribosomal RNA". It matches the Rfam family "Bacterial small subunit ribosomal RNA", at positions 524 to 776 of the family's 1533-position model. The record is from RNAcentral.
UACGUAGGGGGCAAGCGUUGUCCGGAAUUAUUGGGCGUAAAGCGCGCGCAGGCGGUCAUUUAAGUCUGGUGUUUAAUCCCGGGGCUCAACCCCGGAUCGCACUGGAAACUGGAUGACUUGAGUGCAGAAGAGGAGAGUGGAAUUCCACGUGUAGCGGUGAAAUGCGUAGAGAUCUGGAGGAACACCGGUGGCGAAGGCGGCAUCCUGGACCAACACUGACACUGAGGAGCGAAAGCCAGGGGAGCAAACGGG